GGUACGGGGUGUUAGGGCACGACACCGGAGAGGGAGCCUGAGAAACGGCUACCACAUCCAAGGAUGGCAGCAGGCGCGCAAAUUACCCAAUCCCGACACGGGGAGGUAGUGACAAUAAAUAACAAUACGGGGUUCUUUAGGAUCUCGUAAUUGGAAUGAGUACAAUUUAAAUCUCUUAACGAGGAACAAUUGGAGGGCAAGUCUGGUGCCAGCAGCCGCGGUAAUUCCAGCUCCAAUAGCGUAUAUUAAAGUUGUUGCAGUUAAAAAGCUCGUAGUUGAAUUUCGGGGUUAGUAGGUUGGUCAUGCCUCUGGUAUGUACUGGUCUCACUGAUUCCUCCUUCCUGAUGAGCCGUAAUGCCAUUAAUUUGGUGUUGCGGGGAAUUUGGACUGUUACUUUGAAAAAAUUAGAGUGUUUAAAGCAAGCUAACGCUUGAAUACAUUAGCAUGGAAUAACGAAAUAGGACGUUCGAUCCUAUUUUGUUGGUUUCUAGGAUUGACGUAAUGAUUAAUAGGGAUAGUUGGGGGCAUUAGUAUUCAAUUGUCAGAGGUGAAAUUCUUGGAUUUAUUGAAGACUAACUACUGCGAAGCAUUUGCCAAGGAUGUUUUCAUUAUCAAGAACGAAAGUUAGGGGAUCGAGACCAUCAGAUACCGUCGUAAUCUUAACCAUAAACUAUGCCGACUAAAAUCCGAUGAAGUAAUUUUUUAAUG
Molecule: ribosomal RNA, 708 nt
Filed under: uncultured Rhizophagus
Lineage: Eukaryota; Fungi; Glomeromycota; Glomeromycetes; Glomerales; Glomeraceae
Description: SSU rRNA
Rfam family: Eukaryotic small subunit ribosomal RNA
Source: RNAcentral